Molecule: long non-coding RNA, 786 nt
Organism: Cyprinus carpio carpio
Lineage: Eukaryota; Metazoa; Chordata; Actinopteri; Cypriniformes; Cyprinidae
Source: Ensembl
UUAUUUUUUUAGUAAGUCAAGAAUCACUAAUAUUGCUCAUAGUUGUCUUUACUUUUAGUAGAUGUUAUUUUAUGCCAUCUGCAAUUUUUUUCUCUCAAAAAUGUCAUAAAACAACAUCCAUUUUGAAUCUGCCAUUUUUAAGAAGUUUUUGGGAUGUUUGCAGAGAAACAUUAUAGAAAACCCUUGCAACACCCUAACAGCUGCCCAGAAAACCAUAGCAACCGCAUAGCAACAUAUUAAACAACAUUCCGAAUACCUGCAUAGGAACACCAUGGCAACCACCUAUGCUGCAUCCGAAAUCGCAUGCUUCCCUACUAUAUAGAGCAGCAAUUACCCCAAACUGUGACUGCUCCUCCUACCAGCCGCGGGAACAAUGGACUGUCUGUCAGCGGCGGUGCUGCCCAAGCAUAACAGAUGUGUGUGGACACACUAGACAAUGGCGUGGCUGGAUAAGUGGGUUCCUGAUCUCAGAGGCGGGGGGGAGGAUGGCAGCUUGUGUCCGAGACACCCGCGUGGGGCGAGGGAGAAAUCCACAGGACCAGCACAGAGCCAGCCCCCGAGACCUUCAGCACAGAAAUCUCAACAACCUCCGAUCCGUGUUCUGGGAGAAAGUUGGAGGAGUUUGGGGAUUAGAUGGUGGUCUGAUACAUGAGCCUUACGUUUGUCUUUUUAAAGGUAAAGUGUGUAUUUCAAAAAUAAUGACUGUUUUCAUACAGGUUUUAUGAAGACGUUCCCUGUGAUCAGCAAACAAAUAGCCCUGCUCCAAAACUCACACCAUUGAUUGAG